Molecule: ribosomal RNA, 433 nt
Filed under: uncultured bacterium
Lineage: Bacteria
Description: partial 16S ribosomal RNA
Rfam family: Bacterial small subunit ribosomal RNA
Source: RNAcentral
AACGAACGCUGGCGGCAUGCCUAACACAUGCAAGUCGAACGGGACCUUCGGGUCUAGUGGCGCACGGGUGCGUAACGCGUGGGAACCUGCCCUUAAGUUCGGCAUAACUCCCCGAAAGGCGUGCUAAUACCGGCUCAUGUCUUCCGACCAAAGGUUUAUCGCCUUUGGAUGGGCCCGCGUUGGCUUAGCUAGUUGGUAGGGUAAAAGCCUACCAAGGCGACGAUCCAUAGCUGGUCUGUGAGGAUGAUCAGCCACACUGGUACUGGGACACGGCCGAGACUCCUACAGGAUGCAGCAAUGGCUAAUAUUGGACAGUGGGCUAAAUGCUGAUGGAGCAAGGCCGCGUGAGUAAUGAAGGUUGUGGGGAUGUAAAGCACUUUUACCCGGUAUUAUAAUGACAUUACCAGGAGAAUAAGCUCCGGCUAACUCCGUG